Molecule: unclassified non-coding RNA, 2018 nt
Filed under: Leishmania donovani
Lineage: Eukaryota; Euglenozoa; Kinetoplastea; Trypanosomatida; Trypanosomatidae
Description: gene:LdHU3.32.4950(CDS-product:3-hydroxyisobutyry l-coenzyme_a_hydrolase-like_protein)
Source: RNAcentral
UGGCAUUUGGCGGUAACCCCUCUUCCUGACCUCCCUUCUCGUUUUUUCAUCGCCAUUCACCCGCGUCGUUGCUUCUCACCCUGCAUCCUCGUCGACGCGUCGCGCAGAACCGUUCGCGUAGCGCGCCUCACUCCUCCGUGCAUCCUUCCCUUCGGUUUAUCGGUGCGCACCAGCCCAGCCCAGCGCAGCCCCGCCCCGCCUUCGGACGCGCGCAUCUAUCUGCGGGACGGGCCGCCGUGAGCUGAGCAUACCACCAUGCACAGUGCUGUCACUUGCAUCAAGAGCCCGGGCGCGGCUCUCUUCACCGACACUGCCACCUGCCGCACCAUCACGUUGAGCCGGCCCGAUGCGUUGAACGCCAUGUCGUUGCCGAUGGUGCAGGACCUGCAUCGCCUGUACAUCACAGAGCCGCACCCGAACGAGGAUGCCGUGUACGUUGUGCGCGGUGACGGGCGGCGCAGCUUCUGUGCUGGUGGCGACCUGAAGGCCCUCACAGGACCCGAGAAAGACACGCACAACCCGCUGUUCUACCGCCUGGAGUACGAGGUGGACUCGCACAUUGCGGUGAUGCGGCGCACGCAGGUGACGAUGUGGGCGGGGCACGUGCUGGGGAGCGGCGUGGGCGUGUCGGUGCACAGCCGUUACCGCGUUGCGUGCGAGACGACGCGGUUCGCGAUGCCGGAGACGCAGAUCGGCGGCGCGAACGACGUUGCGACGAGCUGGGUGUUCUCGUCGCUGCCGAUAUGCGGGCUUGGCAUGUACCUUGCGAUCACGGGCAACACGCUGCAAGGCGCGGACGUGUUCCACGCGGGCCUGGCGACGCACUACAUCCCUGUGGAGAAGUUCGGCGCUGUGGAGGCUGCGCUGGCGGCGCUGCCGUCGUCGGAGGGCGUCGAGGAGUGCCUCCGAGGGUUCAGCGAGGACGUUGCUGUGCCGCCGUUCACGCUGGCGGAGAACGCGCCUGUGCUGGCGAAGGCGUUCGGCGCGAUCACUCCGUCGACGCACCUGCGCGACAUCAUGGAUGUGCUGCGCGCGGACGGCAGCGCGUUCGCUGCGAGCACGCUGAAGGUGAUGGAGCGCAACUCGCCGCUGGGCAUGACGCUUGCGCUGGAGAACAUGAAGCGGCAGCACACACCUGGGUGCAACACCGUGAUGGAGAGCUUCCGUGGCGACUACACGGCGAUUCAGACUUCCAUUUGUGUGGAUGAGCUGGCGAAGGGCGUGGAGGCGCUGUUUGUCACGAAGGAGAAGCGCCCGCAGUGGACGGUGGGGUCCGUGGACGAAGUCGAUGUGGAGCUCGUGAAGCAGCAGCUUUUUCUCGUGGAGGGCUUGCGAAUUUUCGGAAGUGGAACGGAUUGACGCGCGUGUUUCGGUGUUUUUUUUUUUUGUUGUUACCGUGCGCAGGCGAGUCCUGUGGGGUGACGGCGGUGUUGUACCUCCUGCUAUCUUCGGUGAUGGAUGUAUGGCCCUGGGCUGCGUAGUUGUCUUCCCCGGUGGCGAUGCUUCACGCAGUUCUUCUACGCGUCAGCUGUUUAUUGGCCUUUAUGCUGUUUCGGUUAGUGUGAGCGGGAGAUGAGGGUGUGGAGUGAACCGCCCGUUGGCCAUCCUGCGGACAGAAACUCGGGAGCAGCUGCUCGGCUAAUGCAAAGGGAGAGAGGCGGCGUCGCCGCACUCGGCGCAACACUGUGAGGGUUUUGCCGACAUGCGUGUCUCUACCAACGAGGUGGGCAUGAACACCGCUGAUGGCCCAUUACCAGUGGUGGGUGCCGCUGCUCAUCCCUCGGGUGCUCACGGCCGUGCGCCACAGCGCACGGCCUUUUUCAGCUCUCGGUGGGCGUCCUCUGACGGGGCGAAGGUGCUUGAGUGUUGGCGUUUGUGCUCUGCCGAGGUUUCCUAGCCCUACGGCUUGCGGCUCGAGCUUCGGACCUCAUCGUCCAUUUGCCCUUGUGUUUCUCUUCUAUCCGCCCCCUCCCUCUGCGUCGCGCACCCGCUUGCGGGCGGCAACGCUGCUCUAUCAG